RNA transcript from Neoarius graeffei (lesser salmon catfish), 2348 nucleotides. It is a transcript of the gene named butyrophilin subfamily 2 member A2-like, with no coding region annotated. The transcript has 6 exons. NCBI's taxonomy places the organism in Eukaryota, Metazoa, Chordata, Actinopteri, Siluriformes, Ariidae. The record is from RefSeq and is a predicted model, not a curated record.
UUCCUGCAGCUCUGCAAACAGUCGAGCUGAGGUUGGGUGUGUUUCAGCCGCAGUCUGUUUCCUUAGAUCUGCACGUAGCCUAGCUCUGUUUAGGAGUGGUGCAGAGACACGCUUUGUGAAUUCACUGCAUGUAUCUACAAUAUUCUUCCUUCUACAAGGAAGCCUGCACACACUCUUCCAGAGACAAUCAGAGCAUCAUGACAUCCUUUAUUCUCAUGUGCACUGUGUGGCUCACCAUCUGUGUGGGCCUUCUGUCUGCAGAACCUAAGAUCCCUGUGUCUGGCAAAGUGAGAUCCACAGUUGUCCUGCCAUGCACACUGAAAGUGCGACGUGAAACUCCAUAUGUUAGGUGGAGCACCGAUAAGGAUGUGUUUGAGCGGAGCGGCAAGGAGUCAUUUCAGGGUGAGGGAUAUGAGGGUCGUGUGGACAUCCCUGAGGAACAGCUGCUGAAGGGGGACUGUUCCUUGGUGCUGCACAACCUGACACUUACUGAUAACGGUGUGUACAAGAGCUACCAGGUAGUGAGACGCACAAAAAGGUCUGCCGUCCGCGAAAAAUGGGAUCUUAUCAGCAGUGUUGUACUUUCAGUAGAUGGACCCAAGACAGGACCUGUGACAGAAAGAGGAAGUUGCCCAGAAGGUGCUACAAUGAUGCAAGGAAGGCAGAUGGGCAACAACAAAUCAGGAGAAGAUAUGAGAAGAGUGAUGGCAAUGUUCCAUGUGGAGUUGAUGGCAGGAUGAUAUCCUUGGUGGGGUCACUGAUCAGAGCAGAGCAACAUCAGAGUCAUGAGGAGGACCAGUGGUGUCCUUGCUGGAGUUUGGUGAUGAAGACCAGGAGGUUGUGGCUGCUUUGUCCAAUCUCUUACUGAAAGAGAUCAUAUUCCCUUUGAGAAGGUCUGUCCAAACCUACUCUCUCCAUAGGCACUCCGCCACACCUAAAUAUGUCCAUGAAGGGAUACUCCUUAGGGAUUGGGGGAGCAUGUAGUGUGCCCAGCUGUGAAAGCACUGCAAUUGCAGUGGAACAUCUGCAUCCAUUCAAGAAAGAAAUGAAAAGACAAACCAUCUUGAACCAUCAGUUCCCAUAAGUGAUGCGAGAGUAAACUGGCCUCGUGCACAGGUCAUGGCCUUGUCCCUCCUCUCUCUUUUUCUCUUCCAGCUCUUCUAUAAACAAACGUGAACGAGACCUAGAGUUGUGCACAGGACUGUGUUUUCAUCCAACACCCACUGAAAUAAAGCUAAGAGUAGCUACAGCCAGCUCAAACAUCACUAGAAUUUGUUGAGAGGUUGAUGGGAACAGUGGUCGAACAAUCAGUGAUUGGCUGUUGAGAACAUAGCCUCAUGCAAGCACAGCUCACUCAGGCUUAACACAAUAAUGGUGAGCUGUGAUGGGAGCUGGAGAAAUGCAAGACAGUCACUAUUAUCUGCUCAAAAAGUGAAUAGAUUUAUCAUGAGGCUAGUUUCAAAAUAAAGCUGCUAAAGGGUUCUAAAGUCACCAAAUCUAGUCACAGCAUCUCUAAAUUGGCAACACUAGUGCUGACCAACCAAGUUUUAUUCCUGUUAUACCACAGAAAUUUGGUAUUUGGACCCAACAUAAUUACCCCCCCCCCCCCCCCCCCCCCCAAUAAAGGUACAAAAAAGAACUUCCUGGGAGAGGUUUACUGGGACCUAAUCCUGGAGCCAGUCCCGAGGAUCAUGAUCACAGGUGAGAUAGGUAGUGAUGUGAUAUUCAUGGCGAAUGUGUAAAAUCAUGCAGUGCUUUGGACAUUUUUGUUGGGUUUUGCGGGAUCCCAAUCCUAUUUGCUCAACUGUAGCAAUUUACACAAGAAGAACAGAGUGUAGUAGGAUGCAGAAAAGCUGAUUGAAUCCCAAAAAGCUUUCUACACUUUAUCUACCUGCACAACACUGGAGCUAACACAAUCUACAUUGUGUGUAAUGUAGACAGAAGAAUGUAAAUGUAGAGUGAUGUGUUUGUACAAAGGCAGUGUAUUAUAUGUAUAUUAAAAGUCAUGAAUUGUAAUGAUUUUUCAGAAAUCCAGACUUUCAGAAGAGCUUGAAACUCUUGUCUAGGGAUGGUCUAGAAACAAAAUGUAGGCCUCCAUCAACAUUUAUCAGAUUGGUAAUAAAGCAAAGCUCUGAGCUGGACAAAGAUGUAUAUUUUUUAGAUUUCAGUGUGACAUGUGGUAUCUUCUGCUUUACUUUAUAAAAUGUAGUGACAUGAAAAAGUUUUCCUACAUCAUUGUUGCAGUAUUAUUGCUUUGUGUUAACCAUCAUGGCUUUUGUUAUUUGUUAUUACUGCUAUUGUAUAUGAGGAAUAAUGAUAAUAAAAGCACUUUGUUGGACAAUUUAUAA